This 586-nucleotide ribosomal RNA is filed under the name uncultured Pseudonocardia sp. RNAcentral describes it as "bacterial SSU rRNA". It matches the Rfam family "Bacterial small subunit ribosomal RNA", at positions 325 to 916 of the family's 1533-position model. Lineage: Bacteria; Bacillati; Actinomycetota; Actinomycetes; Pseudonocardiales; Pseudonocardiaceae. The record is from RNAcentral.
CGAAUUCGCCCUUCCUACGGGAGGCAGCAGUGGGGAAUAUUGCGCAAUGGGCGGAAGCCUGACGCAGCGACGCCGCGUGGGGGAUGACGGCCUUCGGGUUGUAAACCUCUUUCGACCUUGACGAAGCCUUUCGGGGUGACGGUAGGGGUAGAAGAAGCACCGGCCAACUACGUGCCAGCAGCCGCGGUAAUACGUAGGGUGCGAGCGUUGUCCGGAAUUAUUGGGCGUAAAGAGCUCGUAGGCGGUCUGUCGCGUCGGUCGUGAAAACUUGGGGCUUAACCCUGAGCUUGCGGUCGAUACGGGCAUGACUGGAGUUCGGCAGGGGAGACUGGAAUUCCUGGUGUAGCGGUGGAAUGCGCAGAUAUCAGGAGGAACACCGGUGGCGAAGGCGGGUCUCUGGGCCGAUACUGACGCUGAGGAGCGAAAGCGUGGGGAGCGAACAGGAUUAGAUACCCUGGUAGUCCACGCCGUAAACGGUGGGCGCUAGGUGUGGGGGCCAUUCCACGGUCUCUGUGCCGCAGCUAACGCAUUAAGCGCCCCGCCUGGGGAGUACGGCCGCAAGGCUAAAACUCAAAGGAAUUGACGG